UCCCGGUUAACCCGGGCAGUCUCACUAGAGUUCCCACCUUUACGUGUUGGCAACUAAUGAUAAGGGUUGCGCUCGUUGCGGGACUUAACCCAACACCUCACGGCACGAGCUGACGACAGCCAUGCAGCACCUGUGCAGAGACCCCGAAGGGAAACGACAUUUCUGCCGUCGUCCUCUGCAUGUCAAGUCUGGGUAAGGUUCUUCGCGUUGCAUCGAAUUAAACCACAUGCUCCACUGCUUGUGCGGGUCCCCGUCAAUUCUUUUGAGUUUCACCCUUGCGAGUGUACUCCUCAGGCGGUAUACUUAUCGCGUUUGCUACGGCACAACCAGGGUUGAGUCCGGUUACACCUAGUAUACAUCGUUUACGGCAAGGACUAC
This 378-nucleotide unclassified non-coding RNA is filed under the name uncultured Parachlamydiaceae bacterium. RNAcentral describes it as "contains 16S-23S intergenic spacer region". The record is from RNAcentral. Lineage: Bacteria; Pseudomonadati; Chlamydiota; Chlamydiia; Parachlamydiales; Parachlamydiaceae.